This 253-nucleotide ribosomal RNA is filed under the name uncultured bacterium. Its description in RNAcentral is "partial 16S ribosomal RNA". It matches the Rfam family "Bacterial small subunit ribosomal RNA", at positions 524 to 776 of the family's 1533-position model. The record is from RNAcentral.
UACAGAGGUCCCGGGCGUUGUUCGGAUUCACUGGGCGUAAAGGGUGCGUAGGUGGUGAGGUAAGUCGGAUGUGAAAUCUCCAGGCUCAACCUGGAAACUGCAUUGGAAACUACCUUGCUGGAGGAUUUGAGGGGGGAUUGGAAUACUUGGUGUAGCAGUGAAAUGCGUAGAUAUCAAGUGGAACACCAGUGGCGAAGGCGAAUCCCUGGAAAAUACCUGACACUGAGGCACGAAAGCUAGGGGAGCAAACAGG